This 343-nucleotide ribosomal RNA is filed under the name uncultured bacterium. RNAcentral describes it as "partial 16S ribosomal RNA". It matches the Rfam family "Bacterial small subunit ribosomal RNA", at positions 338 to 698 of the family's 1533-position model. The record is from RNAcentral.
CCUACGGGGGGCUGCAGUAGGGAAUAUUGCUCAAUGGGGGAAACCCUGAAGCAGCAACGCCGCGUGGAGGAUGAAGGUUUUAGGAGUGUAAACUCCUUGUGUGAGAGAAGAGGAUGACGGUAUCUAACGAAUAAGCACCGGCUAACUCCGUGCCAGCAGCCGCGGUAAUACGGAGGGUGCAAGCGUUACUCGGAAUCACUGGGCGUAAAGAGUGCGUAGGCGGGGUAAUAAGUCAGAUGUGAAAUCCUGUAGCUUAACUACAGAACUGCAUUUGAAACUGUUACUCUGGAGUGUGGGAGAGGUAUGUGGAAUUCUUUGUGUAGGGGUCACAUCCGUAGAGAUC